GACGAACGCUGGCGGCGUGCUUAACACAUGCAAGUCGAACGGAAAGGCCCUGCUUUUGUGGGGUGCUCGAGUGGCGAACGGGUGAGUAACACGUGAGUAACCUGCCCUUGACUUUGGGAUAACUUCAGGAAACUGGGGCUAAUACCGGAUAGGAGCUCCUGCUGCAUGGUGGGGGUUGGAAAGUUUCGGCGGUUGGGGAUGGACUCGCGGCUUAUCAGCUUGUUGGUGGGGUAGUGGCUUACCAAGGCUUUGACGGGUAGCCGGCCUGAGAGGGUGACCGGCCACAUUGGGACUGAGAUACGGCCCAGACUCCUACGGGAGGCAGCAGUGGGGAAUAUUGCACAAUGGGCGGAAGCCUGAUGCAGCAACGCCGCGUGCGGGAUGACGGCCUUCGGGUUGUAAACCGCUUUCGCCUGUGACGAAGCGUGAGUGACGGUAAUGGGGUAAAGAAGCACCGGCUAACUACGUG
RNAcentral lists this ribosomal RNA (469 nucleotides) under uncultured bacterium. RNAcentral describes it as "partial 16S ribosomal RNA". It matches the Rfam family "Bacterial small subunit ribosomal RNA", at positions 28 to 507 of the family's 1533-position model. The record is from RNAcentral.